AGCUUUGCGCAGUAGCAGUAUUGUAGCCAAUGAGGUUUAUCUGAGGCACGAUUAUUGCUAAUUGUUUGGCAUAUUCCCAAAUGGAUAGGUGUGGUCUGGAAAAAAUCAUUAGAACCUGAAAUUUAUAGGGGAAUAAAAUAUA
Molecule: small nuclear RNA, 142 nt
Organism: Rattus rattus (black rat)
Lineage: Eukaryota; Metazoa; Chordata; Mammalia; Rodentia; Muridae
Product: U4 spliceosomal RNA
Exons: 1
Source: RefSeq, a predicted model, not a curated record